Molecule: unclassified non-coding RNA, 271 nt
Filed under: uncultured fungus
Lineage: Eukaryota; Fungi
Description: sequence contains ITS2
Rfam family: 5.8S ribosomal RNA (bases 1-52)
Source: RNAcentral
AACGCACAUUGCGCCCGCCAGUAUUCUGGCGGGCAUGCCUGUCCGAGCGUCAUUUCAACCCUCGAACCCCCCCCGGGGGGAUCGGUGUUGGGGACCGGCCUCCGCCCUCGCUGGCGGUCGCCGCCCCCGAAAUACAGUGGCGGUCUCGCCGCAGCCUCCUCUGCGCAGUAGUUUGCACACUCGCACCGGAGAGCGGCGCGUCCAAGCCGUAAACCACCCAAACUUAUGAAAGGUUGACCUCGGAUCAGGUAGGAAUACCCGCUGAACUUAA